UUAUGGAGACAUUGGGGGCGGAGGGAGUACUGUACCGGACAUGACUUCUGGGUAUACCAUGUGGCCUGUGAUUUUUUCCCCCAUACCUGUUA
Molecule: small RNA, 92 nt
Filed under: Mus spicilegus (steppe mouse)
Lineage: Eukaryota; Metazoa; Chordata; Mammalia; Rodentia; Muridae
Description: NoRC associated RNA, pRNA (ENSMSIG00000017913.1)
Rfam family: NoRC associated RNA, pRNA
Source: Rfam by way of RNAcentral